GUAGGGUGCAAGCGUUAAUCGGAAUUACUGGGCGUAAAGCGUGCGCAGGCGGUUUUGUAAGACAGAGGUGAAAUCCCCGGGCUCAACCUGGGAACUGCCUUUGUGACUGCAAGGCUAGAGUACGGCAGAGGGGGAUGGAAUUCCGCGUGUAGCAGUGAAAUGCGUAGAUAUGCGGAGGAACACCGAUGACGAAGGCAAUCCCCUGGGCCUGUACUGACGCUCAUGCACGAAAGCGUGGGGGGAGCAAACAGGAUUAGAUACCCUGGUAGUCCACGCCCUAAACGAUGUCAACUGGUUGUUGGGUCUUAACUGACUCAGUAACGAAGCUAACGCGUGAAGUUGACCGCCUGGGAGUACGGCCGCAAGGUUG
RNAcentral lists this ribosomal RNA (370 nucleotides) under uncultured organism. Its description in RNAcentral is "partial 16S ribosomal RNA". It matches the Rfam family "Bacterial small subunit ribosomal RNA", at positions 527 to 896 of the family's 1533-position model. The record is from RNAcentral.